Molecule: ribosomal RNA, 208 nt
Filed under: uncultured bacterium
Lineage: Bacteria
Description: partial 16S ribosomal RNA
Rfam family: Bacterial small subunit ribosomal RNA
Source: RNAcentral
UCGGAUUGUAGUCUGCAACCCGACUACAUGAAGCUGGAAUCGCUAGUAAUCGCGGAUCAGAAUGCCGCGGUGAAUACGUUCCCGGGUCUUGUACACACCGCCCGUCACACCAUGGGAGCCGGGAAUGCCCGAAGUCAGUGGCCCAACCGAAAGGGGGGAGCUGCCGAAGGCAGGCCUGGUGACUGGGGUGAAGUCGUAACAAGGUAUC